Molecule: long non-coding RNA, 1269 nt
Filed under: Gossypium barbadense (sea-island cotton)
Lineage: Eukaryota; Viridiplantae; Streptophyta; Magnoliopsida; Malvales; Malvaceae
Description: long non-coding RNA (GBAR_LNC013048)
Source: RNAcentral
CAUUUUGCACCCAGUUUAGAAAAAAAAAUGAGAGAGAUCCUCUGAAAUUCUUCCCAGCCCUCUGAGCUCUGGCCCUAGGCUGGUCUGCUCCAUUCAUCGGACCUACGUGCUCAGCCUCACGCACCGUCACCAACUCCGCCACACACGGUGGUUGGGGUCCAAAAAGCUUCGCUUUUCUCGGCAAAUCUAGAAGGUACUUCUUCCUCCUCUUUUUUUAAUGUAUUAUAUGCAGGUUGUUUGCAAUAAAGUAAAAAAUAAAAGGUAGAAAGAGAACAAUAGAUCACCUUCGUUUCUCGUGAAAUCUUUCUGAUAUAUUAUUGCAAAAAUAUUUGGUGUACAAUAUCUCUGUGGUGUUUUUCUCUCUGUAUAUGUGUAUCGUAAGUGUCCUUUACAGAUUGAGAAAAAGGCUUUAUAGCCUCGAUAAACCAUUACAAGUUUUGGAAAGAAAUCUCUGAUUUCUUUCCGUAUUCGCUUCGCAUGUCUGCUGUGAUUUUCUUUCCUUUUUCCUGCAGGUGACCGCGAAAAUUACGGUGGUUGCUGGCGUGGACUCGUGUUGACGAUGAUUCGCCACGAUCGGUGGAAAUGGCCCUAACAUGGUGUUGAAAUAUUGGCCCCCUGGUGGAGGCGUGAUCGGUGGCUGAGCUGAAGGGUCGUGGUGCGUUGAAAGGCCUGUGACAAUACAUUGAUGACCUGAGACAGAGCAUUGAUGGCAGAUGCUCCCCGAAUCUUCCAGAAGCAGUGGCGGCUCGAGGAGAGAAAGAAGAAAGGCAGAAACCCUAGGGUUUCCUGCCUUGGUGUAACAGGCUGGGCCAGUUGGGCCGCUUUAGUCCUGGGCUAAUUGUAUAACGAGUUUAAGUGUGGGUUUAGUUUGGGUUUUAAUUUUUGGGCUCUGUAUAUGGACUGUUUAAAUAAAUAAACAUUUAUUUAUUUAUUUAUUUUAAGUUUUUUUUGGUUUUAAGGCCCGGUCAAAUUUGGGCUAUUACAUAUAUAUAUGUAUAUAUAUAUACUCUUGAUCAAUGUAGUUUGGUAUCAUUAUCAGAUAUCAAGUAGUAAAGUUUGAGUCUCAUUUAGAGAUGAUAAUAGAGUGGGGUAGGGGUGAUUUUGUUAAAUCUAUCAUCAUUCCCAUAGCGGGCACGUUUUACUCCACCACUAAUUCUGUUUCAUUAUUAAUGUAUGAUAUUAAUAAUCACUACCACUUUUUUUUAUAAUACUUUAGUACAUUUUACUGUCUUAAUAAUUAUAUAUAUAAAGAUAAAAAUGUAAUUUUAU